This is a long non-coding RNA of Oncorhynchus tshawytscha (Chinook salmon), 1110 nucleotides long. NCBI's taxonomy places the organism in Eukaryota, Metazoa, Chordata, Actinopteri, Salmoniformes, Salmonidae. The record is from Ensembl.
CAGAUGUAGGAUCUUAAUUUGAGCCAGUUUGCCACAGCAGGAAAAUAAUCCGGCAGCAACAGGAAAUGUUUUAAUUAUUAUAUGGAUUAUAAUGUAUGGUAAUUUUUGGGCAGGUUAAUACAUCAAUAUAUAAUAUAAGGGAAAAUAAAGUCUGACAUUUCUAAGUGGAAAUUCCAAAUACAUGUUAAACCUAAAAUACACUACACAUUUUAAAUGUCCUGCAUUGCAGAAAAGUUCUGCAACAGGGUGAUCAAAUUAAAAUCCUACACCUGUAAAAUGGGUCAGAUUUAAGGUGUGACCCCUAAGGGUCCUAUGUAGGGAACAGGGUGCCAGGUGCCAUUAGAGACGGACCCCUAGGGGCCCUAUGUAGGGAACAGGGUGCCAUUAGAGACCAUCCCCUAAGGGCCCUAUGUAGGGAACAGGGUUCCAUUAGAGACUGACACCUAAGGGCCCUAUGUAGGGAACAGGGUCCCAUUAGAGACUGACCCCUAAGGGCCCUAUGUAGGGAAGAGGGUGCCAUUAGAGACUGACCCAUGGUUCCUCUCCUCCCUGGCCAUUAGAGACUGACCCAUAGUUCCUCUCUCUUCCCUGGCCAUUAGAGACUGACCCAUGGUUCCUCUCUCCUUCCUGGCCAUUAGAGACUGACCCAUGGUUCCUUUCUGGACACAUCUGUUUUCAUCUUCACACGACCCUCACAGCUCUAUUUUUCCAGUGAGAUAUACAGCUAGAGCUAUUUUUCAAUGUCAAAAUGUACUAAUAUACUGUUACGGACCAAAAACGUUGUUAGUUAGUGUGCGGUUAACUAGUAGUAGUAGUGCCCAGAAUAGAGCCAGCUGUGUGUAAGGCUCUAAGGGAAAACAGAAUAGAACCAGCUGUGUAUAAGGCUCUAAGGGAAAACAGAAUAGAACCAGCAGUGUAUAAGGCUCUAAGGGAAAACAGAAUAGAACCAGCAGUGUCUAAGGCUCUAAGGGAAAACAGAAUAGAACCAGCAGUGUCUAAGGCUCUAAGGGAAAACAGAAUAGAACCAGCUGUGUGUAAGGCUCUAAGGGAAAACAGAAUAGAACCAGCAGUGUCUAAGGGAAAACAGAAUAGAACCAGCAGUGUAUAAGG